UGGUUGUUACCAAGGCAUUUAGCAUGCAAUUUCUCAUUUGCUGUGGACACAUCGAUAAGAGAAUUCCUCACUGGGUUUUCUGUCUGCCACCUUGCUAACGAUCAGCCCACUGGGAACAUUU
Cercocebus atys (sooty mangabey) is the source of this 121-nucleotide small nucleolar RNA. The record is from Ensembl. Lineage: Eukaryota; Metazoa; Chordata; Mammalia; Primates; Cercopithecidae.